Molecule: ribosomal RNA, 484 nt
Filed under: uncultured bacterium
Lineage: Bacteria
Description: partial 16S ribosomal RNA
Rfam family: Bacterial small subunit ribosomal RNA
Source: RNAcentral
GACGAACGCUGGCGGCGUGCUUAACACAUGCAAGUCGAACGAUGAACCCGGAGCUUGCUCCGGUGGAUUAGUGGCGAACGGGUGAGUAACACGUGAGCAAUCUGCCCUUGACUCUGGGAUAACUGCGGGAAACUGUAGCUAAUACCGGAUACUUUCACUGGAAGGCAUCUUCUGGUGAAGAAAGAAUUUCGGUCAAGGAUGAGCUCGCGGCCUAUCAGCUUGUUGGUGAGGUAACGGCUCACCAAGGCGACGACGGGUAGCGGGCCUGAGAGGGUGACCGGCCACACUGGGACUGAGACACGGCCCAGACUCCUACGGGAGGCAGCAGUGGGGAAUAUUGCACAAUGGGCGCAAGCCUGAUGCAGCAACGCCGCGUGAGGGAUGAAGGCCUUCGGGUUGUAAACCUCUUUUAGCAGGGAAGAAGCGAAAGUGACGGUACCUGCAGAAAAAGCACCGGCUAACUACGUGCCAGCCGCCGCAGUAA